Formica exsecta is the source of this 2984-nucleotide long non-coding RNA. RefSeq lists it as uncharacterized. The transcript is spliced from 2 exons. The record is from RefSeq and is a predicted model, not a curated record. NCBI's taxonomy places the organism in Eukaryota, Metazoa, Arthropoda, Insecta, Hymenoptera, Formicidae.
AGGUGUUAAACGUUUCUAGAACGUCUCUCGUCGGUUUGAUCUGUCGGCUAAUCGCUCGGACCGAUCGAGAUCGUGGAAUGUCGGAGAACGCGCGUGUAAUUAUCGUGCAAUCGGUAGCGAGUUUGCGAACCGUCCGCGAGUAUCCAUAAAUCAGAAUAAUAGUACGUACGAUCGUUCGAUACUGCCGUCAUUAUCCGUUGUUUAUCGGCGACGUUUAGGUAUAUUACUUCCUUUCCUCGAUAAGAGAAAAACAUGAUCGUUUUCUUUUUAAGAAAUUCGUCUAAUAUUAAUACAACCAUCAUUUUUUAUAUUAUAUAUAUAUAUGUGUUUUUCUUUAAAUCAAUGUUUUUUAAUUGAUUUAAAGCACGAGGAAAAAAAAACAAACCAGUAUGACUGGACCAGUAUGACUGCACCUAUACAAGAGUAAAAAAUUGCAACACGCCGUCUAAAUAAUCGAGUAACAAAGAACAACACAAACAAUUUCUUGCUCAUCACAUAUUCAAAAAACGGCGCGUCCUUGGAUCGGCUUUCACCGGUGACUGCAUCUUUCAGUGUGGCUGUCUGCAAUCAGUCGAAUUUUCUCACUCGAUUUAAACAGUCGGUUCUCGUUCGCUCCCAUCGGGAAAAUUGUUCACGCCGAGGAAAACGCAUCGUCAUAUGUGGUUGCCUUCUGUUGCUCCUCACCCUCGGCACGACGCCGAAAAAAUCCGCCCGGGUGCAAGGUGACGCAUCGUUUUCCUUACAGACUCCCGGCGUUUCCUCGACGCGCCGGAUCCACGUUCGUUCUGUAAACUCGACGGGGAUAAUCUUUUCGCGUUGUAAUGGAACACGUGGAACGCCUCUGUUCGCGCUAGUCGAGAGUCGAAAUUUGUCAAACGUGCCGUAUUACGUCUCCAUAAACGCGGCUCAGAUUUUCACCUUCCCUCUUUCACUCUAUCUAUCUCUCUCUCUCUCUCUCUCUCUCUCUCUCUUGACAACGAAGACAUCAUAUUUCAUAUCGCGAAUCGACCGACUUUAACCAGAAGUAGCAAAAUACCGCCUCUACGCUUUUCACGAGGGGCGAAUGGGAUCGAAUCAGAUUAAAGUUGAAGAUUUGCGGUUGCUUGCGAAAUAAUGGUGAUUUGGCGUAUUAUAAGGCAAACUACUUUCCGAUGAACAAGGGAGUAUAACAGGAGAGAGCGAACAAGUUGAAAUUAGCGCGAAUGUGCCGGAGAACUUUUGAAUUUAAAAUCCGAUUUACCCUCUCAGACUAUUAAUCCGUCCUUAGUACAAGUUCUCGACCUUGUGGCUAUAUUUUACAGGCUGUAAAGACUAAAAAAAGUCUCGUUUUUUAAGCGCCAUUGAGAAAAAAAGAAGCGUGCCGCGAUCGUUUUUGCUUUCUAAGGCAUCGCAACGACUCAAUUAGUUUUCCUCUUCAUCCUAAAUUCUCAUUUUUUUUUUCACCGCCUCUUUUCCGCCACCCUUUGUCUAUAUUUAUUGAUGCCCCACCGAUCUGUCUACGGUUGACCGAACUUUUUUGCGACACAUUCUGGCCACCCGUUGUUGAUGUCACCUGCUCUUUUUUUCGAAACCAAACUCUACUUCUCAAGCCUCUUUUUCCACCCUCUGUUGCGCUAACUUUUACUUUUUUUUUUUCCCGCGUGCCGACACUUAUGAACAGUCGGAUGUAUUGACACGAAUGGUUCCAAAAAAAGAACGACGAGAACAGCGACGGAUUCUAAUAAGGGGAGACGGAAAUGGAAAUACAUAUGUCGGAAGCGGAGGGCGCGGAAAUGUAUAAGCCACCUUGUUUGUCGAUAGAUAUUUAGCAUCAAUCACAAUUAAUUUUUAUUAAUUUUUUUUUUAAAUUUAAAAGGCUCCUUUUUUAACAACAAAUUUUGUGUAUUUUUCAUAAGCAUUUCUUUGUAUUGCUCUUAUCUCUCUUUUCAAGAAGUAAUUUUCUUUUUAAAAAUAUGUAUAUAAACCAAUUAUUUUUCCUCCAAAAAAGCCCAAUCUUUCCUAUAAAGAAAAAACGCGUUUCUCUUUCGCGAGGUUGUUGCUAUGCUAAAUAUAAUCGCCACACGUUUCUCGAUUGAUAAAUAAUUACUUAAGAGACCAUUAUAAAAAGAGAAAUAUAUUUCAGCACAAGAACUACGCAAACCGACGGAUUUUCCCCAAUCCAUGAUAAUUAUCUGGUUAUUCACGCGAAUGGGCGAUGUAUCACGAAUCACAUAGGAGGGACACCCCUAAAGAGCAGAGAGAGAGAGAGAGAGAAAAGGUAAAAAAAGGUAAUUUUUCGGGAGCCGAGUCCCUCUGUGCGAGUCGAGCGGAAAGGAAGCCUCACGGCUGCCAUAUGUCCGCGUUUCUAAAACAUUUUCGCGCUAGGACACCUUUCGCUCUUUCGAAGAAGGCCAUGCGUCCUUCGUUCAGAAAGCGCGGCGUGCGAAAAGACUCAUUAUUCAGACUUAUCGUCGCGUGAUAUCUUUGAUUUUUCCGGUAGAUACGUAUGUAUGUAAGCAAACAUCAGGUUAUUGUGUUUAGAGUCCAUUUCCGCGCAAACGAAUUUUCUACGUACAAUUUCUGCUAAAUCUGCAGCUCCUUUUAUGUGACUCUUGACACACAUCCAUAUAUUUAUAUGAUUUCCUUUGUAAAAAAAUUAUUCAUUAGCUUAUUAAAUAUCUCACAUACUUUAAAUCUCACUAUCUCUGUUGAAGUAAUUGGAGGAAUUUGAAUAAUCAAAAUAUUGUAGGAUAUAAGUUAAACAUUUGUCUCGAGAUAAUUUCUCACAAAAUUGUUCUUAGAAAAAAAAUAUUACAUAAUCUUAUAAAAGAGAUUUUUAGAUAAAGAUUAUUAGAUAAUCUCUUUAUAUUUUAUUAAAUAUGAAUGACAAUAUAAUUUCAUUAAAUAUGUAUAAUAAUGUAAUUUUUACCAUAAUUUUUAUUAUUUAAUUGUCAAUAAUACCGAGAUAGUUACAAAAAACUUUUCACCGUACGAAAAAAAAAAAA